Molecule: non-coding RNA, 70 nt
Organism: Podarcis lilfordi (Lilford's wall lizard)
Lineage: Eukaryota; Metazoa; Chordata; Lepidosauria; Squamata; Lacertidae
Source: the annotation of a GenBank genome assembly
AUUUAGCUCAGUUGGCUAGAGUGCGGUGCUGGCAAUGCCAAGGUUGCAGGUUCGAUCCCCAUAAGGGACA